Molecule: ribosomal RNA, 659 nt
Filed under: uncultured Bacteroides sp.
Lineage: Bacteria; Pseudomonadati; Bacteroidota; Bacteroidia; Bacteroidales; Bacteroidaceae
Description: bacterial SSU rRNA
Rfam family: Bacterial small subunit ribosomal RNA
Source: RNAcentral
GGGGGCGCAUGAACUUAGCUUGCUAAGUUUGAUGGCGACCGGCGCACGGGUGAGUAACACGUAUCCCCCCUGCCGAUGACUCGGGGAUAGCCUUUCGAAAGAAAGAUUAAUACCCGAUGGCAUAGUUCUUCCGCAUGGUGGAACUAUUAAAGAACUUCGGUCAUCGAUGGGGAUGCGUUCCAUUAGGUUGUUGGCGGGGUAACGGCCCACCAAGCCUUCGAUGGAUAGGGGUUCUGAGAGGAAGGUCCCCCACAUUGGAACUGAGACACGGUCCAAACUCCUACGGGAGGCAGCAGUGAGGAAUAUUGGUCAAUGGACGAGAGUCUGAACCAGCCAAGUAGCGUGAAGGAUGACUGCCCUAUGGGUUGUAAACUUCUUUUAUAAGGGAAUAAAGUGAGGGACGUGUCCCUUUUUGUAUGUACCUUAUGAAUAAGGAUCGGCUAACUCCGUGCCAGCAGCCGCGGUAAUACGGAGGAUCCGAGCGUUAUCCGGAUUUAUUGGGUUUAAAGGGAGCGUAGGUUGACGUAUAAGUCAGCUGUGAAAGUUUACGGCUCAACCGUGAAAUUGCAGUUGAUACUGUAUGUCUUGAGUGUACAAGAGGUGGGCGGAAUUCGUGGUGUAGCGGUGAAAUGCUUAGAUAUCACGAAGAACUCCGAUUG